GAGGAUAAAGGUUUACGAGCUGCGGAACAAGACGAAGGCGGAGCUGCUGAACCAGUUGAAGGAUCUGAAGGCGGAGCUCGCUCUGCUUCGAGUGGCUAAGGUCACUGGCGGCGCCCCUAACAAGCUCUCCAAAAUGUACUCUUCGAACUUGUUCUGAGUGUGUGUUGUGAUUGUUUUGUUUGUUGGAAUCGCGUUUUGUAAACUGCAUUUUGUGUUCGUUUUGUAGCAAGGUAGUGAGGCUUUCGAUAGCGCAGGUGUUGACGGUUAUUUCUCAAAAGCAGAAGGCAGCGCUCAGAGAGGCUUACAAGACAAAGAAGUAUUUGCCCCUUGACCUCCGUCCCAAGAAGACCCGCGCCAUUCGCAGACGCCUUACCAAACACCAGGUUUCACUCGUUUUAAUUUUUUUAUGUUUUUGUUUAAUUUUGUUCGUCGUUUUUCUUCUAGAAUUUGAAAUUUUAGAUUUUAUGUCUUCUCAAUAAAUUAAAUUGUGAUUAUGGUACAACAUGUGCAUCAUACUCCAACUUCACCUUUACUCUUGAGUUUGAGUUAUGGUGCAUCUGCAUUGAAUAUACCUUAAUAAUUGGUUCCAGUAGUAUUGUGAUCUCAUAUCUUUAAAUUAAACUGUGAUUACUACCAAACAUGGAUAGACUGUUAAUGUUGUUUUUAGUCUCAUGUUUUUGGACUCACACCGUAUUUUGUGGUCUCAUAAAAAUUAUUUAACGGUUUUUUUAGCUCUAAUUAAAUGAUGAAUUUUAAUAGAAGUUAUUUUAUACUUGAUAUGUUAUCCAUUUAUAAACGAGGGUUUGGUUUUAUCAAAUUGUGCUUUGUCUUAUCACCCUCUUCUCGGUUUGUGCAGGCAUCAUUGAAGACAGAACGGGAGAAGAAGAAGGAGCUUUACUUUCCACUCAGAAAGUAUGCCAUCAAAGUUUAAGUUAGAAUUGAUUACUUGUAUUGAAAUUUUAAGGUGUUGAUGCUUGCCACUGAGGCUGCAUUCCAAUUUUUAGUACCUAAGUUGUUUUGAUGCCUGCCUUCAUAGUUUCCAGGGUAUUUAUUAAAACUAUAGUUGCUUCGAGAAAUUAUGGUUGUUUUUGGCCUUUUGUUUUAUGGAGUAUCACUGGAUGAAUGAUCAAUUUGAAAUCUUCAUUUCUCUCCUUUUCGGUAAACUAUUUCUGUUACAAUUAUCAUAAGCAUUUAAUUUGGUCCUUAUGUUCAGUGAAUUUAGUGUGGUUUAGGCUGAUAUAGGCUUUUAGUUC
Molecule: long non-coding RNA, 1253 nt
Filed under: Vigna radiata
Lineage: Eukaryota; Viridiplantae; Streptophyta; Magnoliopsida; Fabales; Fabaceae
Description: long non-coding RNA (VRAD_LNC008618)
Source: RNAcentral